This 429-nucleotide ribosomal RNA is filed under the name Gemmatimonadota bacterium. RNAcentral's name for it is "Gemmatimonadetes bacterium partial 16S ribosomal RNA". It matches the Rfam family "Bacterial small subunit ribosomal RNA", at positions 355 to 776 of the family's 1533-position model. Lineage: Bacteria; Pseudomonadati; Gemmatimonadota. The record is from RNAcentral.
UAGGGAAUCUUCGGCAAUGGACGAAAGUCUGACCGAGCAACGCCGCGUGAGUGAAGAAGGUUUUCGGAUCGUAAAACUCUGUUGUUAGAGAAGAACAAGGACGUUAGUAACUGAACGUCCCCUGACGGUAUCUAACCAGAAAGCCACGGCUAACUACGUGCCAGCAGCCGCGGUAAUACGUAGGUGGCAAGCGUUGUCCGGAUUUAUUGGGCGUAAAGCGAGCGCAGGCGGUUUCUUAAGUCUGAUGUGAAAGCCCCCGGCUCAACCGGGGAGGGUCAUUGGAAACUGGGAGACUUGAGUGCAGAAGAGGAGAGUGGAAUUCCAUGUGUAGCGGUGAAAUGCGUAGAUAUAUGGAGGAACACCAGUGGCGAAGGCGGCUCUCUGGUCUGUAACUGACGCUGAGGCUCGCAAGCGUGGGGAGCAAACAGG